Molecule: ribosomal RNA, 499 nt
Filed under: uncultured bacterium
Lineage: Bacteria
Description: bacterial SSU rRNA
Rfam family: Bacterial small subunit ribosomal RNA
Source: RNAcentral
GAUGAACGCUGGCGGCGUGCUUAACACAUGCAAGUCGAACGGAGUUAUAUUUUUGGUAGCUUCGGUGAAAGAAGAUAUAACUUAGUGGCGGACGGGUGAGUAACGCGUGGGUAACCGUGCCGUAUACAGGGGGAGUAACACCUGGAAACAGGUGCUAAUACCGCAUAAGCGCACGAUGUCGCAUGACGUUGUGUGAAAAGACCCUGGCGGUAUACGAUGGACCCGCGUCUGAUUAGCUAGUUGGUGGGGCGAACGGCCUACCAAGGCGACGAUCAGUAGCCGGCCUGAGAGGGUGGACGGCCACAUUGGGACUGAGACACGGCCCAAACUCCUACGGGAGGCAGCAGUGGGGAAUAUUGCACAAUGGGGGAAAGCCUGAUGCAGCAACGCCGCGUGAGUGAAGAAGUAUUCGGUAUGUAAAGCUCUAUCAGCAGGGAAGAAAAUGACGGUACCCUGACUAAGAAGCCCCGGCUAACUACGUGCCAGCAGCCGCCGUAAC